AAGUGGCGCGGGUUUCGCGAUAAGCCCGCUGGGCUACGCUGCGCCGCCAGCCCACAAAAUCCCGCAUCCCAGCCCACAACGCCGAAGCGGACAUUUCGCGGUAACCCGCACGGCCCAGCGGCGCCGCAUAACCCGCUCCCCGCUUCCCUGGCGAACUCUAGCGCCGCCAUGGCGAGUCCCUCGGCUCGACCUCCGCUGCCUCCCGUUCCUACACCUGCUCCGCGUGCGUCGCCUCCAUUGAUGCCGGCGCCAGCACCCGGAUCCGCACCAGCGCCAUUGAGAUCUGGGCUCAUGGUCGCAACCUCUGGUCCCUCGGUGAUGCUGUCUCCACUGCCGCCGCCACCUGCUUCGUCGCCCGCAGCAGCACCUGUGCCGGUGCCCUUGGUUGGCAUGAAGACCGGCGGCGGCAUCCUCCUCCCGGAAACAUCCAAGCAGCAGGCUGAGGGAGAUGCACUGAAGUGUAAGGUCUCUAGCGUGAAGAGGGCAAGUGAUGGAUCCAAGUGUAGUGCUAAUAGAUUAGUGUGGUUCUGUAAUGUAUAAUCCAUUUUAAUCUUUUCAGAAACUCACCAAUGUCAUCAUCCGAUCCUGGAGAAUAUUUGGAUUUUGAUGUAGUGUUGAAAAAUCUGGAGCAUAUAGUUGUUAUAGGCUUUUUAUACAUGUAUGGUGUUGCAAAAUCUGGAUCAUAAGCUUGUUAUACUUGGAGCUUAGGCUUGCUAGCA
Panicum virgatum (switchgrass) is the source of this 719-nucleotide long non-coding RNA. RefSeq lists it as uncharacterized. Lineage: Eukaryota; Viridiplantae; Streptophyta; Magnoliopsida; Poales; Poaceae. The record is from RefSeq and is a predicted model, not a curated record. The transcript has 2 exons.